UUUGAACAAAAAAACCUGUAAAUAUGGUGUUUGGGUACAUGAGUUAGUGAUGGGCUUGGCAGUGCUGGAUUAACAGUUGGAGUUGAUGAUCUUAGAGGGCUUUUCCAGCUUUAAUGAUUCUGUGAUUCUGUGAACUGUGAGCUGCUGUUUUGCUCACCCCACGGAGAUGAGUGUGCAGCCCACCGUGCUCCAGAGGCACUGCUGAGGGAAGGAACUGCUGGAUGCACAUCACAGGUAAGUGAGACAUGAAGAGCACGUUGCACCUGGGCAAAAGCCUUUUAAUUUCUCUACAUAGUCCAUAUACCCUUUGUAGUAUCUCUCUGAGAAGAGCAAAAUGACCAUUUUAUGGGUGAAUAUGCAGAGCCACGGUGAUAUCGAAUGACUUCUUAGGCCUUGGGCACAGAAGGGUUGUGAACGGCCCAUAAAUGAAAAAGAUGUUUUUCAUCAGAAGUUCUUUGUCUCAGAAGUUCCCCUCCCACCUGGAAUUUAUCCAGCCCUCACUGACCGAUCUUUUGAGGAAAAUGCUGGAGUUGCUAAUCCAUUUAUGUCUUUUGUAAGCCGCGUGAAACUUCGGGAGUGAGUUGGGUUUGAGUGCCGGGUGGUUGUUAAUAAUUCAUGCUUCAUGUGAAAAGAAAAUUGAUCAGAAGCAUCCUGGAGAGACCAAUCUAUGCUGCCUCUGUGAUCAGCUGAGACACAAACCAAAUGGAAGGAACGACUGGAAAGAUAUCACUGAGAAAAGCUGCGCAGACCCAUCCCAAGCCAAGCGGUGUGGAAGGAGAGGGGUGUCAAAGGGAAGAGCAGCACGGGGUCCUUUGAAGCCUGGUCACGGAGAUAAGGAUGUGGGAAAAGAUCCUGCAGCAAAAAGUGGUCAAAAGUUCUUAAGAGGAGGACGAGAGCAGCUCCGUUUCCUGAAGGCAGCACUCCAGAUCAAAGAGUCCUUUGUGGAAAUGUUCAAAACCAACCCAAACCACCUCAUCCUGGGUUAAAGAUGAGCUCCAGUACCUGGGGCUGGAUGGGAGGUCAGAGGAGGAGCACUGGGGGAUGUCUGCAGAUGCUGAGGCUGUGCUGAAGCUGUGAGAUGGACCUGUUGUGUCAAAGAACUCACAGAGAUCUGACCCAGAAAUACAAGAAUUUCACAGUAUCUGAGGAAAUGUGCUGAAGGAAGGUUUUCUGGAGCUUUUCAGAUGGGAAAGGGCCCUCCUGCCCAUUUGCUCACCACAGAGGGAGCCCAGGCUGGUGUGAAGGAGGUUGUGCAGAGGUCACUGCUCUUUCUAGAAGUUUCUGUUUCAAGGUUCAGUGUUUUCUGCAACCUGGUUUCCACAGCCUGGUUUAGAAAAGGCCUCUGCUCUGUGUGCAUACAUGAAAAGUGGGAGUAUGACAAGCAGAGUCAAGGUUUAUCGCAUCUCCAGACAUUUCAAUAUUCUUCAGGAAGGGAAUGCUGGACCCCAGAUGAGAGUCUGGUGGUUUCUGCGGUGGCUUUGCACGAGUUGUCUGGACAAAAGGACAAAGUUUCCCAGGCGACAAUUUGUGGCAUGAAGGUUUGAGUGAGAGGAACUGCACUUUCCGUUGCAUCACUCACGUUUCAAGCCCGAGCUUUCACACAUCCCAUAAGCUGCUUCGAGCCCGUGCAGUUCACAAAGUGAGGGGAAAAAAAAAGGAAUUGAAGAAGCAAAAAUAAAUAUUAAAGCACGUAAGAAUUAAAUAUCACCUAUUCAAAUGGCAAUUAUGCUGUUGAAAACAAGAUCACCACACCUGUACAAGAAAAGACAACCAAGCCCACAACAUCUGUUUGGAUCCACCUGCCAAGCACCUGUUCGGCUGUUUCAAUGCCAUUUGAUUGCUGGAGAUGUAGAGGCUCUUGUGAGGGUUUCUUGCAUAGUUGUGUGCUUUGUGCUGAUGGAAGAUGCUGCAGACUCAGGUCUUUAUCUGCAGACCAGUUUCCAUGCUGGGAUCUGCAUUGUGAAUCAGCCCACGCUCCUCACCACUGGAGAAUUCAUGCUUGGGAUCGUCUCCCAAAGAUGAGGAAGAUGUGGAAGUCAAACUGAGGGAUGCAGCAUCCCCUCUGCCUCUUCCCAAGGGCCAGAACCGUGUGCCUGCUCUUCUGUGAUAUAUUCACACGGGAGGUAUUCUGGAACCGGCCAAGGACACAGCGUUUACAAGAAGGUCCUGACAAGCAUCCAAAAGUCUUUGCUGGAGCUUCCAUCUUAGAUGACCCCACAGAAUGUGAGAAAGCUUUCUUUGAGGGGAAUGGCAUCUUCUGGCUGGAACUACAUCCAGAAAUUCUGCUGUGCUUAACCCGUCCCUGAAAUGCCCCGUGAAAAUGAAUUUAAGGGUGGAGGAAAGAAGAGAAGGAAUGUCUGUGGGAAGGAUGGAAAGGACAACAGGAGGAAAGAGUUGCAAAUGUUUUGAGAACCCAUCAUUUUCCCAGGUUGAUGGGAAGACCCUGGUGACCCAGCUGUGAGUCACGAUUCCCAGCUGGGUGGCUCUGAAGAGAGACAAGAAGCUCGGAUGUGUCCCUGAUCCCCCACCAGCACAGGCCAGGAACAUCUGUCUGCUCCUUCCCUUCCUUCAGACAGUCCCUAGGA
Myiozetetes cayanensis is the source of this 2585-nucleotide long non-coding RNA. RefSeq lists it as uncharacterized. Lineage: Eukaryota; Metazoa; Chordata; Aves; Passeriformes; Tyrannidae. The transcript has 8 exons. The record is from RefSeq and is a predicted model, not a curated record.